UACAGAGGUGGCGAGCGUUGUUCGGAUUUACUGGGCGUAAAGGGUGCGUAGGUGGUCUCGUAUGUCGGAUGUGAAAUCCCACUGCUCAACGGUGGAACGGCAUCGGAAACUGCGAGACUCGAGUGCAGGAGGGGAGAGCGGAAUUCUUGGUGUAGCGGUGAAAUGCGUUGAUAUCAAGAAGAACACCGGUGGCGUAGGCGGCUCUCUGGAAUGCAACUGACACUGAGGCACGAAAGCUAGGGGAG
Molecule: ribosomal RNA, 245 nt
Filed under: uncultured bacterium
Lineage: Bacteria
Description: partial 16S ribosomal RNA
Rfam family: Bacterial small subunit ribosomal RNA
Source: RNAcentral